CGUGUGUCAGCCACCUCGUGUCGCCGCGAAAACACGACAGUCCUUCGCCCUCCAUUGGAUAUAAGAACAAAUCCUCAACGGUGGAAUAUCACGCUUCAAGCAGAUUUGUUUAUGUAUCAAUCCAAGGCCGCAAUGCAAGUUCGUGAGUGGCAUAGAAAGAAUCCGGCACUUGCUGCAUCCAGCACGGCAGGAGAGCCACUCCAGAAAGCCACAGCACGACGUAACUGCGAAGUCCAUAUGUGGGACACCCCAUGGGCAAAGGCGCAAAAAAACGGCGGCUCAUCUGCUGUUGCAUGUGUCCAAAAGUUUUACGAGAUUUGCGGACAUACAUCAACACAGAUUGUGAUCUUCUCUGAGGAGUGUCAAAAUGCUGGGAUAAAAGAGCAGGCACAAGGACGGCUUCUGGAAUCUGAAACAUGACGUGACACGCAGAGGUUUUUAUGUACUGCUCAUGUGUGUUUGAGCAGCUAACAGAAAUAAAGCUUACUCUAACGAAUUAUUUGGUGAUGUUAUCUCACAUUUCUUGCUCUCAACACUG
Long non-coding RNA from Dermacentor andersoni, 538 nucleotides. RefSeq lists it as uncharacterized. NCBI's taxonomy places the organism in Eukaryota, Metazoa, Arthropoda, Arachnida, Ixodida, Ixodidae. The record is from RefSeq and is a predicted model, not a curated record.